UUUUUGAUGUUUCUCUCUCGGCU
Molecule: microRNA, 23 nt
Filed under: Canis lupus familiaris (dog)
Lineage: Eukaryota; Metazoa; Chordata; Mammalia; Carnivora; Canidae
Description: cfa-miR-8802
Source: miRBase by way of RNAcentral